GAUUAAGUUAUUAAGGGCGCACGGUGGAUGCCUUGGCACUAGAAGCCGAUGAAGGACGUUACUAACGACGAUAUGCUUUGGGGAGCUGUAAGUAAGCUUUGAUCCAGAGAUUUCCGAAUGGGGAAACCCAGCAUGAGUUAUGUCAUGUUAUCGAUAUGUGAAUACAUAGCAUAUCAGAAGGCACACCCGGAGAACUGAAACAUCUUAGUACCCGGAGGAAGAGAAAGAAAAUUCGAUUCCCUUAGUAGCGGCGAGCGAAACGGGAAGAGCCCAAACCAACAAGCUUGCUUGUUGGGGUUGUAGGACACUCUAUACGGAGUUACAAAGGACGACAUUAGACGAAUCAUCUGGAAAGAUGAAUCAAAGAAGGUAAUAAUCCUGUAGUCGAAAAUGUUGUCUCUCUUGAGUGGAUCCUGAGUACGACGGAGCACGUGAAAUUCCGUCGGAAUCUGGGAGGACCAUCUCCUAAGGCUAAAUACUCUCUAGUGACCGAUAGUGAACCAGUACCGUGAGGGAAAGGUGAAAAGCACCCCGGAAGGGGAGUGAAAUAGAACCUGAAACCGUGUGCUUACAAGUAGUCAGAGCCCGUUAAUGGGUGAUGGCGUGCCUUUUGUAGAAUGAACCGGCGAGUUACGAUUUGAUGCAAAGGUUAAGCAGUAAAUGUGGAGCCGUAGCGAAAGCGAGUCUGAAUAGGGCGUUUAGUAUUUGGUCGUAGACCCGAAACCAGGUGAUCUACCCUUGGUCAGGUUGAAGUUCAGGUAACACUGAAUGGAGGACCGAACCGACUUACGUUGAAAAGUGAGCGGAUGAACUGAGGGUAGCGGAGAAAUUCCAAUCGAACCUGGAGAUAGCUGGUUCUCUCCGAAAUAGCUUUAGGGCUAGCCUCAAGUGAUGAUUAUUGGAGGUAGAGCACUGUUUGGACGAGGGGCCCCUCUCGGGUUACCGAAUUCAGACAAACUCCGAAUGCCAAUUAAUUUAACUUGGGAGUCAGAACAUGGGUGAUAAGGUCCGUGUUCGAAAGGGAAACAGCCCAGACCACCAGCUAAGGUCCCAAAAUAUAUGUUAAGUGGAAAAGGAUGUGGCGUUGCCCAGACAACUAGGAUGUUGGCUUAGAAGCAGCCAUCAUUUAAAGAGUGCGUAAUAGCUCACUAGUCGAGUGACACUGCGCCGAAAAUGUACCGGGGCUAAACAUAUUACCGAAGCUGUGGAUUGUCCUUUGGACAAUGGUAGGAGAGCGUUCUAAGGGCGUUGAAGCAUGAUCGUAAGGACAUGUGGAGCGCUUAGAAGUGAGAAUGCCGGUGUGAGUAGCGAAAGACGGGUGAGAAUCCCGUCCACCGAUUGACUAAGGUUUCCAGAGGAAGGCUCGUCCGCUCUGGGUUAGUCGGGUCCUAAGCUGAGGCCGACAGGCGUAGGCGAUGGAUAACAGGUUGAUAUUCCUGUACCACCUAUAAUCGUUUUAAUCGAUGGGGGGACGCAGUAGGAUAGGCGAAGCGUGCGAUUGGAUUGCACGUCUAAGCAGUAAGGCUGAGUAUUAGGCAAAUCCGGUACUCGUUAAGGCUGAGCUGUGAUGGGGAGAAGACAUUGUGUCUUCGAGUCGUUGAUUUCACACUGCCGAGAAAAGCCUCUAGAUAGAAAAUAGGUGCCCGUACCGCAAACCGACACAGGUAGUCAAGAUGAGAAUUCUAAGGUGAGCGAGCGAACUCUCGUUAAGGAACUCGGCAAAAUGACCCCGUAACUUCGGGAGAAGGGGUGCUCUUUAGGGUUAACGCCCAGAAGAGCCGCAGUGAAUAGGCCCAAGCGACUGUUUAUCAAAAACACAGGUCUCUGCUAAACCGUAAGGUGAUGUAUAGGGGCUGACGCCUGCCCGGUGCUGGAAGGUUAAGAGGAGUGGUUAGCUUCUGCGAAGCUACGAAUCGAAGCCCCAGUAAACGGCGGCCGUAACUAUAACGGUCCUAAGGUAGCGAAAUUCCUUGUCGGGUAAGUUCCGACCCGCACGAAAGGCGUAACGAUUUGGGCACUGUCUCAACGAGAGACUCGGUGAAAUCAUAGUACCUGUGAAGAUGCAGGUUACCCGCGACAGGACGGAAAGACCCCGUGGAGCUUUACUGUAGCCUGAUAUUGAAAUUCGGCACAGCUUGUACAGGAUAGGUAGGAGCCUUUGAAACGUGAGCGCUAGCUUACGUGGAGGCGCUGGUGGGAUACUACCCUAGCUGUGUUGGCUUUCUAACCCGCACCACUUAUCGUGGUGGGAGACAGUGUCAGGCGGGCAGUUUGACUGGGGCGGUCGCCUCCUAAAAGGUAACGGAGGCGCUCAAAGGUUCCCUCAGAAUGGUUGGAAAUCAUUCAUAGAGUGUAAAGGCAUAAGGGAGCUUGACUGCGAGACCUACAAGUCGAGCAGGGUCGAAAGACGGACUUAGUGAUCCGGUGGUUCCGCAUGGAAGGGCCAUCGCUCAACGGAUAAAAGCUACCCCGGGGAUAACAGGCUUAUCUCCCCCAAGAGUUCACAUCGACGGGGAGGUUUGGCACCCUCGAUGUCGGCUCAUCGCAUCCUGGGGCUGUAGUCGGUCCCAAGGGUUGGGCUGUUCGCCCAUUAAAGCGGUACGCGAGCUGGGUUCAGAACGUCGUGAGACAGUUCGGUCCCUAUCCGUCGUGGGCGUAGGAAAUUUGAGAGGAGCUGUCCUUAGUACGAGAGGACCGGGAUGGACAUACCUCUGGUGUACCAGUUGUCGUGCCAACGGCAUAGCUGGGUAGCUAUGUGUGGACGGGAUAAGUGCUGAAAGCAUCUAAGCAUGAAGCCCCCCUCAAGAUGAGAUUUCCCAACUUCGGUUAUAAGAUCCCUCAAAGAUGAUGAGGUUAAUAGGUUCGAGGUGGAAGCAUGGUGACAUGUGGAGCUGACGAAUACUAAUCGAUCGAAGACUUAAUCAA
This 2925-nucleotide ribosomal RNA is filed under the name Staphylococcus aureus. RNAcentral describes it as "23S ribosomal RNA". It matches the Rfam family "Bacterial large subunit ribosomal RNA". Lineage: Bacteria; Bacillati; Bacillota; Bacilli; Caryophanales; Staphylococcaceae. The record is from RNAcentral.